RNAcentral lists this ribosomal RNA (492 nucleotides) under uncultured bacterium. Its description in RNAcentral is "partial 16S ribosomal RNA". It matches the Rfam family "Bacterial small subunit ribosomal RNA", at positions 29 to 507 of the family's 1533-position model. The record is from RNAcentral.
AGUGAACGCUGGCGGUAGGCCUAAUACAUGCAAGUCGAACGGCAGCACAGUAAGAGCUUGCCCUUACGGGUGGCGAGUGGCGGACGGGUGAGGAAUACAUCGGAAUCUACUUUUUCGUGGGGGAUAACGUAGGGAAACUUACGCUAAUACCGCAUACGAUCUACGGGUGAAAGCAGGAGAUCUUCGGACCUUGCGCGAUUGAAUGAGCCGAAGUCGGAUUAGCUAGUUGGCGGGGUAAAGGCCCACCAAGGCGACGAUCCGUAGCUGGUCUGAGAGGAUGAUCGGCCACACUGGAACUGAGACACGGUCCAGACUCCUACGGGAGGCAGCAGUAGGGAAUCUUGGACAAUGGGCGCAAGCCUGAUCCAGCCAUACCGCGUGAGUGAUGAAGGUCUUCGGAUUGUAAAGCCCUGUUAUUAGGAAAGAACAUCUGCGUAUUUAUCCCCGGCUGUUCUGACGGUACCCAAAGAGUAAGCCCCGGCUAACUUCGUG